RNAcentral lists this ribosomal RNA (407 nucleotides) under uncultured soil bacterium. RNAcentral describes it as "bacterial SSU rRNA". It matches the Rfam family "Bacterial small subunit ribosomal RNA", at positions 966 to 1393 of the family's 1533-position model. The record is from RNAcentral.
GACCUUACUUGGGCUUGACAUGCAUCGUGUCGCCGGUGAAAGCUUUGCACAGGUGCUGCAUGGCUGUCGUCAGCUCGUGUCGUGAGAUGUUGGGUUAAGUCCCGCAACGAGCGCAACCCUUGCUCAAUUGGGGACAAAAUGGUGCUGGGGCACUCUGUUCAGACUGCCCUGUGAAACGGGGAGGAAGGUGGGGACGACGUCAAGUCAGGAUGGCCCUUACGCCCAGGGCUGCACACGUACUACAAUGCUCAGUACAGAACGAACCGAAAUCGCGAGGUGGAGGAAAUCACUAAAACUGAGCCCAGUUCGGAUUGUAGGCUGCAACUCGCCUACAUGAAGCCGGAAUCGCUAGUAAUGGCGUAUCAGCUACGACGCCGUGAAUACGUUCCCGGGCCUUGUCACACCGA